UGCUGUGCUCCAUGUUCAGGAGGCAGAGAAGAAAAUACCUCUGGAGACAAGCUUGGAAUGGUGUUCCUGUGUCCUAAAGACACUUGAGGAAUACCUUGAAUCAGCCCAGGACUUGGAAUCAAAUGCCAAGAAUUGGAGAGCUAUCAAGAGCAGCCAUCUACUGGCUCAUUCUAGCUUUACUACAAUGAAAUUUGCUUCGGGAGAUGUCCGUCAGUGCAGAGAGGCACUUGAAAGUUUUGAUCGUCUCCUUCACUCAGUGAGAGAGUCUGUGAGAGAAGCUGGGGAGCUGUCUCACACCUUCCUGGAAAUGAAAGGACAGCUGUACAUGCAUGCUGGGACGUUUCUGCUCACACUGGCCCAGAACAACGAGGCGCAGUGGAGCGAUGCAUGUCAACUGGCAGCACUGUGUUAUCUGAAGAGUUUCAACGUGAGUCACUUGUCCCUUUCUGCCUCCAGUUAGUGCAGUUCUCGACCACUCUUGCUGUGCAGGUGUGGGAUGCCCGUAUUCCCAAGCUCAAUCAGUGUUUGU
Molecule: non-coding RNA, 529 nt
Organism: Meleagris gallopavo (turkey)
Lineage: Eukaryota; Metazoa; Chordata; Aves; Galliformes; Phasianidae
Source: RefSeq, a predicted model, not a curated record